UGUAAUCGUACUAUAUAUCUAUGUCUUGCUUAUUUAUCUAUGUAAUGGUACUAUAUAUGUCGUGUUCAUAUAUGUUCUAUAUAUCUAUGUCGUGCUUAUUUAUCUAUGUUCUAUCUAGUUCAUAUAUGUUCUAUCUAGUUCUAUCUAGUGCAUGCAAGUGAAUGCUCGCGUUCCCGUCAAAAAAAAUACUACUUCUGUAUUUGGGUACCCUCUGUAUUUAGUGUUAGCGUGUUUUGCAAGCGGUGGCCGUUUCGGUUUCCGAGGCAGGGCUGGUGUAAAUGAUAAAAAGACCACACGCCCACCCACCGUCUCUUCGCACCACUCCCCCAUCUCCUCCUACACAGAAACCGCCGCCCUCCGUCUCUUCGCUCUCCCCCAUC
Molecule: long non-coding RNA, 380 nt
Filed under: Hordeum vulgare
Lineage: Eukaryota; Viridiplantae; Streptophyta; Magnoliopsida; Poales; Poaceae
Description: long non-coding RNA (HVUL_LNC006975)
Source: RNAcentral